GCCAGCGCAGCACGACCGGUCGUGCACCCGUUUCGUAAUCGGGAGGUAGCGGGUUCGAGUCCCGCCGCUGGCUC
RNAcentral lists this transfer RNA (74 nucleotides) under Actinoplanes auranticolor. Its description in RNAcentral is "tRNA-Thr". It matches the Rfam family "tRNA". Rfam says of the family: Transfer RNA (tRNA) molecules are approximately 80 nucleotides in length. Their secondary structure includes four short double-helical elements and three loops (D, anti-codon, and T loops). Lineage: Bacteria; Bacillati; Actinomycetota; Actinomycetes; Micromonosporales; Micromonosporaceae. The record is from RNAcentral.